CAACUUGGAGGCUGGGACACUUUCUCCUAGGUCAAAAGUAUACGCAUCAACAAAGCACAUGCCCAUCAGUAUGAUGUAUGGAAGGGAGGCUGUUUUCCCAUCAGACGUUUCUGUGGAUGUGCCGCUAUCCAUCCACUCCCUAACGAAGAUGAUUUUGAGAUGUUUAUGGAAAAGAGAAAGGAGCACAUGGAUAACGUGCACGCCAGUGCCCAGAGCAACAUCUCUCAGGCACACGAAAAACAGAGGCUUACGUAUGAGAGGAAAAUCUUUAAAAAGUACAUAGGAGUAUCCUAUAGUGUUGGACAAGAGCUGAUUCUAUUCAACAUGAGGAAGCGGGGGAGAAAAGGAGGACGGAUUGAGCCAGACUUCAUUGGGCCUUACAAAAUAGGGGAAAUAAACGGCAAAACUGUCUCAUUA
This is a long non-coding RNA of Entelurus aequoreus (snake pipefish), 417 nucleotides long. RefSeq lists it as uncharacterized. The record is from RefSeq and is a predicted model, not a curated record. The transcript has 3 exons. Lineage: Eukaryota; Metazoa; Chordata; Actinopteri; Syngnathiformes; Syngnathidae.